GCUGGGCUUUAACUGACGCUGAGGCACGAAAGCGUGGGUAGCAAACAGGAUUAGAUACCCUGGUAGUCCACGCUGUAAACGAUGAUUACUAGGUGUGGGGGGACUGACCCCUUCCGUGCCGGAGUUAACACAAUAAGUAAUCCACCUGGGGAGUACGGCCGCAAGGUUGAAACUCAAAGGAAUUGACGGGGGCCCGCACAAGCAGUGGAGUAUGUGGUUUAAUUCGAAGCAACGCGAAGAACCUUACCAGGUCUUGACAUCCAACUAACGAAGUAGAGAUACAUUAGGUGCCCUUCGGGGAAAGUUGAGACAGGUGGUGCAUGGUUGUCGUCAGCUCGUGUCGUGAGAUGUUGGGUUAAGUCCCGCAACGAGCGCAACCCUUGCUAUUAGUUGCUACGCAAGAGCACUCUAAUAGGACUGCCGUUGACAAAACGGAGGAAGGUGGGGACGACGUCAAAUCAUCAUGCCCCUUAUGACCUGGGCUACACACGUACUACAAUGGCCGUCAACAGAGGGAGGCAAAAUAGCGAUAUGGAGCAAACCCCUAAAAACGGUCUCAGUUCAGAUUGCAGGCUGCAACCCGCCUGCAUGAAGUCGGAAU
This 601-nucleotide ribosomal RNA is filed under the name uncultured bacterium. Its description in RNAcentral is "bacterial SSU rRNA". It matches the Rfam family "Bacterial small subunit ribosomal RNA", at positions 728 to 1332 of the family's 1533-position model. The record is from RNAcentral.